This is a non-coding RNA of Schizosaccharomyces pombe (fission yeast), 720 nucleotides long. The record is from the annotation of a GenBank genome assembly. Lineage: Eukaryota; Fungi; Ascomycota; Schizosaccharomycetes; Schizosaccharomycetales; Schizosaccharomycetaceae.
UUACGGGGCUUUUGUGCCGGCCACCUUUAAUCUUAUUCAUUCAUAAUAAGUUCUGGUGCUGUACCAGAUUUUGUAUCUCUGAAUAUCUACGAACAGAUUUGAAUCCAAAAAAUCGGAAGGAAUGUAGCAAUUUUCAACCAAAACGGUUGCGGGACUGAAUAGGGUGGAUGGUGUAAACAAUUAAGUACUUUAAAGGUAUAUAUGAAAGCCUUUGUCAUACACAACGAUAGCCGUUAAGCCUCGUUACCAGCCUUCAGUGGUCGGCGGGUUGCCAGUGCAUUAAAUCUCAUAAUAUGAAUACCUCAAAUUUUUGGUGGAAGUAUGGGUUAAGGUCUUUUAGUGUUUUUAUUAAUUACAUUUUCAUGAACAGAAGGAGUGCUUCCUCGAUAUUGGAGGAACAUAUUGAACGUUCCGAUUUGUAAACAUUUCCUUGAUAUGAUUAUACCUUGAUGUAUGUACGACCACAUCGUUACUUUUUAUACUAAUAUUAAUAUGUGAAUGAAAGACUUAUAUUGUUAUCGGUAAGCUACCAUCGAAAGAGGCUCAAAUGUUAGUACAAUGCAUCAAAUGGGAAUAAAUAUAGAGUUGCAUCCCCCUACCCUUUUUGGAACUGUUAAAUUAUCGCUACAAUUCUGUACUAAAAUAACGAGAGCUAUGUACGACUAUUAACAUUUGGUCGAAUUAUAUUGUUAGGGCACAUAGGAAUUACUUAUAAUAUUG